This 484-nucleotide ribosomal RNA is filed under the name uncultured bacterium. RNAcentral describes it as "partial 16S ribosomal RNA". It matches the Rfam family "Bacterial small subunit ribosomal RNA", at positions 899 to 1397 of the family's 1533-position model. The record is from RNAcentral.
ACUCAAAGGAAUUGACGGGGGCCCGCACAAGCAGCGGAGCGUGUGGUUUAAUUCGAGGCUACACGAAGAACCUUACCUGGGUUGGACAUGGCAGUGGUAGGAACCUGAAAGGGAACCGACCUUCGGGAGCUGUCACAGGUGCUGCAUGGCUGUCGUCAGCUCGUGUCGUGAGAUGUUCGGUUAAGUCCGAAAACGAGCGCAACCCCUAGUGUGCGUUACACGUGUCGCACGCGACUGCCCGUGACAAACGGGAGGAAGGUGGGGAUGACGUCAAGUCAGCAUGGCCUUUAUAUCCAGGGCUACACACACGCUACAAUGGUCGGUACAACGGGACGCGAAACCGCGAGGGGGAGCCAAUCCCACAAAGCCGAUCGUAGUUCGGAUUGCAGGCUGCAACUCGCCUGCAUGAAGCUGGAGUUGCUAGUAACCGCGCGUCAGCCAUAGUGCGGUGAAUACGUUCCCGGGCCUUGUACACACCGCCCGU